UACGUAGGGACCAAGCGUUGUUCGGAUUUACUGGGCGUAAAGGGCGCGUAGGCGGCCCUACAAGUCACUUGUGAAAUCUCCGGGCUUAACUCGGAAUGGCCAAGUGAAACUGUAAGGCUAGAGUGCAGAAGGGGCAAUCGGAAUUCUUGGUGUAGCGGUGAAAUGCGUAGAUAUCAAGAGGAACACCUGAGGUGAAGACGGGUUGCUGGGCUGACACUGACGCUGAGGCGCGAAAGCCAGGGGAGCAAACGGG
Molecule: ribosomal RNA, 253 nt
Filed under: uncultured bacterium
Lineage: Bacteria
Description: partial 16S ribosomal RNA
Rfam family: Bacterial small subunit ribosomal RNA
Source: RNAcentral